This 990-nucleotide long non-coding RNA is filed under the name Cricetulus griseus (Chinese hamster). Its description in RNAcentral is "lncRNA (ENSCGRG00000024291.1)". Lineage: Eukaryota; Metazoa; Chordata; Mammalia; Rodentia; Cricetidae. The record is from RNAcentral.
AUGAAAAGGAGCUAUUGGCCACUUGGCAACAUGGAUGAAUCUCAAAAUAAUUAUGCAUCAAAAGAUCAGACCAAAAUGGGAUUGCAUUUUAUGAAAUUAUUUUUAAUCUCUCUCUCUCUCUCUCUCUCUCUCUCUCUCUCUCUCUCUCUCUGUGUGUGUGUGUGUGUGUGUGUGUGUGUGUGUGUGUGUGUGUUACCACUAGAAGCAUGGAUACAUCAUUGGAAGUAUAAAAUACAGGAGAAAAGUUCAUUGGAAGAACGAUUCCAAAGAAGAGGACUCAGCAGUCAAAAUUAGUCAUGUGACCUGCCUCCUCCCAACUACACAAGCUAGAGUGGUCCUAACCAUACUCUUUCAAUGACAAAGAAUUGGAAUGAAGAGACCUGGGAUGACUAACAAGAAGGGGAUCAGCCUCUUAGAAGUUGCUUUUAUCAAGAAGUCAAUGACCGCUCACUGAGGUCCACAAACAAUUAAAAGCUGGGUGAAAGCCUGGAAUAUCUACUUCAGUUUGCUCCCUUUGGCCACCACCAUCCCUCUUCAAGUGGGCAUGGCGACCACUUAGGGAGCCCCUGUGGAGGCACUGGAGAUAGCCAGCCUAUUUCAUUCUGCUUCAGGGUUGAUGGCAUGAAGAACCAAUGUUCUCAAACAGCAUUUCCAAAAAUUGGCUAAACACAUUAUGGGGACAGUGGAAAACAUGAAGCAUGCUUUUGGACUUUAUGCGUAAGAAUUUGAAAACAGAUAUAUCAAAAUGUCUGGAAAAAUGAUAUUUUGAUAUAUUUCUCACUCUUAUGUCUUCAGUCGACAUAAAUAAGCCACCUGCCAGUUUUCAAUAGAAUUUGUAGAGCUGCAAACUGGCAUCCAAGUUAAAGAAUUUGCUCAUGUCCCUUUACUAAUUUUUCAUAGGUCCUGUCUUCCCCAGAGCAACGGCCUUGACUUAACAAUCAUUAUGUGUGUUUUCACUUAACGAGCAUUUGUGGGUGACUAUUUUCAAGA